RNAcentral lists this ribosomal RNA (119 nucleotides) under Aegilops tauschii subsp. strangulata. The record is from RNAcentral. Lineage: Eukaryota; Viridiplantae; Streptophyta; Magnoliopsida; Poales; Poaceae.
GGAUGCAAUCAUACCAGCACUAAAGCACCGGAUCCCAUCAAAACUCUGUAGUUAAGCGUGCUUGGGCGAGAGUAGUACUAGGAUGGGUGACCUACUAGGAAGUCCUCGUGUUGCAUUCC